Molecule: ribosomal RNA, 465 nt
Filed under: uncultured bacterium
Lineage: Bacteria
Description: partial 16S ribosomal RNA
Rfam family: Bacterial small subunit ribosomal RNA
Source: RNAcentral
CCUACGGGUGACAGCAGUGGGGAAUAUUGCGCAAUGGGCGAAAGCCUGACGCAGCGACGCCGCGUGAGGGAUGAAGGUCUUCGGAUCGUAAACCUCUGUCAGCAGGGAAGAACGGUCACUGUGCUAAUCAUCAUUGAAUUGACGGUACCUGCAAAGGCAGCACCGGCUAACUCCGUGCCAGCAGCCGCGGUAAUACGGAGGGUCCGAGCGUUAAUCGGAAUUACUGGGCGUAAAGCGCGCGUAGGCGGUAUGUCAAGUCAAGUGUGAAAUCCCCGCGCUCAACGUGGGAACUGCCUUUGAAACUGGCAGACUGGAGUGUGUGAGAGGAUAGUGGAAUUCCAGGUGUAGGAGUGAAAUCCGUAGAUAUCUGGAGGAACAUCAAUGGCGAAGGCGACUAACUGGAACAUAACUGACGCUGAGGAGCGAAAGCGUGGGUAGCAAACAGGAUUAGAUACCCGGGUAGUC